This 315-nucleotide ribosomal RNA is filed under the name uncultured eukaryote. Its description in RNAcentral is "partial 18S ribosomal RNA". It matches the Rfam family "Eukaryotic small subunit ribosomal RNA", at positions 1470 to 1796 of the family's 1831-position model. The record is from RNAcentral.
CCCUUAGAUGUUCUGGGCUGCACGCGCGCUACACUGACGCACGCAACAGGUGCCUGCUCCGAGAGGACUGGGUAAUCAUUUGAGUGUGCGUCGUGAUGGGGGUAGAAUAUUGUAAUUAUUACUCUUCAACGAGGAAUUCCUAGUAAGCGCCAGUCAGCAGCUUGCGCUGAUUACGUCCCUGCCCUUUGUACACACCGCCCGUCGCUCCUACCGAUGGGUGAUCCGGUGAAUGAUUCGGACUUCAGCGGCUCCCCUGGGGUGCGCCGGAGAAAGUUUUGUGAACCUUAUCACUUGGAGGAAGGAGAAGUCGUAACA